Molecule: long non-coding RNA, 507 nt
Organism: Sciurus carolinensis (gray squirrel)
Lineage: Eukaryota; Metazoa; Chordata; Mammalia; Rodentia; Sciuridae
Exons: 3
Source: RefSeq, a predicted model, not a curated record
UGGUAUGCUGCCUCGCCAUCGUGCAGUACCUGAAUUCUAAGACCUACAAGCUAGGAAGGUGGCGUCACCAAGGAAAGCUGCCAGUAUUGGUCCUCGUGAUGCCAGGUGGGAGGUGAUGGCUUCUUGUGUGACCUCCGUGCUGCUUGAGUGGCUGCAGGUUUUCAGCGUUCACGUGGACACAGCGAUUUUGUUGGGUUUCAGGGCGAGAGGUCUGCUGUAGGGCAGCUGAACUAGCACCAAAGAGCUCUUCCUGGACAGGAUCAAGAAGGCCUGUAUUGGCAACAGAGGACUGUAAAGUGUAUUUACUCUCUUGAAAAAGAAUGAGUUUGCUGACUGACAACUUGGUGAAAGGAAAAAUUACAUCAUUGAACGUACAACAGAACUUUGAAGGUGUUACUUCAUGGAAGCCUGAAGAUACAUUGAACAGUCAACACAUGAAAACUCCACUUUGAAAAUGCUAGAAUGUUCAUCCCAAAUGUCCUUGGAGAAGUUGGAGUCAGAUUCAAG